UAUUAAUCAGCAUCAUCAUCCCUCCACCAACAGAAAAACAGCUGAGGCCAACAAGAAUUGACUUUUAGGAAUGAUGUUUGUGCCAUAUGAUAAGUAACAACUACUUAAGUUGUGACCUGCAGCAGAUAUUUUAGUCAAUAUUUCACCAUUGUAAAGCCCUGCAGCUGAAGAGUCUCAGAAAAUGCUAAGUAUUUUACUGCUUUACCAUAGCUUAUAAUAUAUAUGAUUAAAGGUUUACCACAGCUUAUAUAAAAUUUUGUUUAAAGGUACUAUAAUUGAC
This is a long non-coding RNA of Mytilus trossulus (common blue mussel), 280 nucleotides long. RefSeq lists it as uncharacterized. The transcript is spliced from 3 exons. NCBI's taxonomy places the organism in Eukaryota, Metazoa, Mollusca, Bivalvia, Mytilida, Mytilidae. The record is from RefSeq and is a predicted model, not a curated record.